RNAcentral lists this unclassified non-coding RNA (498 nucleotides) under uncultured Glomus. RNAcentral describes it as "SSU rRNA". It matches the Rfam family "Eukaryotic small subunit ribosomal RNA", at positions 591 to 1092 of the family's 1831-position model. The record is from RNAcentral. Lineage: Eukaryota; Fungi; Glomeromycota; Glomeromycetes; Glomerales; Glomeraceae.
CCAAUAGCGUAUAUUAAAGUUGUUGCAGUUAAAAAGCUCGUAGUUGAAUUUCGGGAUUAGUACGUUGGUCGUGCCUUGGUACGUACUGGUGUAACUGAUUCCUCCCUUCUGACGAACCGUUAUGCCAUUAAUUUGGUGUGGCGGGAAAUCAGGACUGUUACUUUGAAAAAAUUAGAGUGUUUAAAGCAGGCUCGCGCUUGAAUACAUUAGCAUGGAAUAAUGAAAUAGGACGUUAAUCCUAUUUUGUUGGUUUAUAGGAUCGACGUAAUGAUUAAUAGGGAUAGUUGGGGGCAUUAGUAUUCAAUUGUCAGAGGUGAAAUUCUUGGAUUUAUUGAAGACUAAGUACUGCGAAAGCAUUUGCCAAGGAUGUUUUCAUUAAUCAAGAACGAAAGUUAGGGGAUCGAAGACGAUCAGAUACCGUCGUAGUCUUAACUAUAAACUAAGCCGACUAGGGAUCGGAUGAUGUUAAUUUUUUAAUGACUCAUUCGGCGCCUUACG